AAACUUUCAACAACGGUUCUCUUGGUUCUGGCAUCGAUGAAGAACGCAGCGAAAUGCGAUAAGUAAUGUGAAUUGCAGAAUUCAGUGAAUCAUCGAAUCUUUGAACGCGCAUUGCGCCCCUUGGUAUUCCGAGGGGCAUGCCUGUUCGAGCGUCAUUA
Molecule: ribosomal RNA, 158 nt
Filed under: uncultured Cadophora
Lineage: Eukaryota; Fungi; Ascomycota; Leotiomycetes; Helotiales
Description: 5.8S ribosomal RNA
Rfam family: 5.8S ribosomal RNA
About the family: 5.8S ribosomal RNA (5.8S rRNA) is a component of the large subunit of the eukaryotic ribosome. It is transcribed by RNA polymerase I as part of the 45S precursor that also contains 18S and 28S rRNA.
Source: RNAcentral